RNAcentral lists this unclassified non-coding RNA (960 nucleotides) under Hevea brasiliensis (rubber tree). Lineage: Eukaryota; Viridiplantae; Streptophyta; Magnoliopsida; Malpighiales; Euphorbiaceae. The record is from RNAcentral.
AGAGAGAGAAAGAGAGAGAAAGAGAGAGAUGGGUAGGAGUCCAUGUUGUGCAAAGGAAGGACUGAACAGAGGAGCAUGGACAGCUAUAGAAGACAAGAUACUCACAGAUUACAUUAAAAUCCAUGGUGAAGGAAAUUGGAGAAACCUACCCAAGAAAGCAGGUCUCAAGAGAUGUGGCAAGAGUUGCAGGUUAAGAUGGUUAAAUUAUCUGAGGCCUGGCAUUAAGAGAGGAAACAUAACACGUGAUGAAGAAGACCUCAUUAUCAGGCUUCACAAGCUCCUUGGAAACAGAUGGUCCCUGAUAGCUGGGCGGCUGCCAGGACGAACAGACAAUGAAAUAAAGAACUACUGGAACNNNAGAUUGCAAAACCAGAAAUUUCCUUGUUCAAGUCAUAAUAAUUCGUUCAAGUUUAACCAACCUCAACACAGACCAAUCCAAAAAUCCAUAUCCAUGUCAAAUGCUAAUGCAAAAAAGGUUUUCUGGACCAAAGCUUCAAAGUGCAGCAAAGUGGUCAUACCCACUACUAUUGGGCCACAGAAUCUUGUCCAUGACAUUACGGUGGUGCCACCACCACCCUCAAUGGCAAAUGUCUCCAGCGAACACCACAGAUAUUCAGAGGAGGAAGAGAAUAAUAAUAACAAUAAUAAUAAUUCUUCGUCUGAUUUAAUGUUGGAUUUUGAGAUGGAUGAACAGCUUCUAUCUGAGUUGCUCAAUGCAGAUUUCUCUCUGCUUAACAAUUUUGAUAAUGGAGCUGCUAGUGACACCAACACUGUAUGUGAGCAUCCCCAGUUAUCUCCAGAUUCUCAAAAAACCCUCCUGGUUUUGGAUGAUGCGAUGCAGGAAAUUAGGUUUCCCUCCAUGGAUUCUUUGAUUGAGUCUGGUGAAUUCGAUUGGCUUGAAGAUUUAGGAAAUAAUGGAGCAGCAGAAGAAGAAGAGGUCUAAAGUUCCGAGGCAGCCAC